AGAGUUUGAUCAUGGCUCAGAUUGAACGCUGGCGGCAGGCCUAACACAUGCAAGUCGAACGGUAGCACAGAGAGCUUGCUCUCGGGUGACGAGUGGCGGACGGGUGAGUAAUGUCUGGGAAACUGCCUGAUGGAGGGGGAUAACUACUGGAAACGGUAGCUAAUACCGCAUAACGUCGCAAGACCAAAGAGGGGGACCUUCGGGCCUCUUGCCAUCAGAUGUGCCCAGAUGGGAUUAGCUAGUAGGUGGGGUAACGGCUCACCUAGGCGACGAUCCCUAGCUGGUCUGAGAGGAUGACCAGCCACACUGGAACUGAGACACGGUCCAGACUCCUACGGGAGGCAGCAGUGGGGAAUAUUGCACAAUGGGCGCAAGCCUGAUGCAGCCAUGCCGCGUGUAUGAAGAAGGCCUUCGGGUUGUAAAGUACUUUCAGCGGGGAGGAAGGUGUUGUGGUUAAUAACCACAGCAAUUGACGUUACCCGCAGAAGAAGCACCGGCUAACUCCGUGCCAGCAGCCGCGGUAAUACGGAGGGUGCAAGCGUUAAUCGGAAUUACUGGGCGUAAAGCGCACGCAGGCGGUCUGUCAAGUCGGAUGUGAAAUCCCCGGGCUCAACCUGGGAACUGCAUUCGAAACUGGCAGGCUAGAGUCUUGUAGAGGGGGGUAGAAUUCCAGGUGUAGCGGUGAAAUGCGUAGAGAUCUGGAGGAAUACCGGUGGCGAAGGCGGCCCCCUGGACAAAGACUGACGCUCAGGUGCGAAAGCGUGGGGAGCAAACAGGAUUAGAUACCCUGGUAGUCCACGCCGUAAACGAUGUCGACUUGGAGGUUGUGCCCUUGAGGCGUGGCUUCCGGAGCUAACGCGUUAAGUCGACCGCCUGGGGAGUACGGCCGCAAGGUUAAAACUCAAAUGAAUUGACGGGGGCCCGCACAAGCGGUGGAGCAUGUGGUUUAAUUCGAUGCAACGCGAAGAACCUUACCUACUCUUGACAUCCAGAGAACUUUCCAGAGAUGGAUUGGUGCCUUCGGGAACUCUGAGACAGGUGCUGCAUGGCUGUCGUCAGCUCGUGUUGUGAAAUGUUGGGUUAAGUCCCGCAACGAGCGCAACCCUUAUCCUUUGUUGCCAGCGGUCCGGCCGGGAACUCAAAGGAGACUGCCAGUGAUAAACUGGAGGAAGGUGGGGAUGACGUCAAGUCAUCAUGGCCCUUACGAGUAGGGCUACACACGUGCUACAAUGGCGCAUACAAAGAGAAGCGACCUCGCGAGAGCAAGCGGACCUCAUAAAGUGCGUCGUAGUCCGGAUUGGAGUCUGCAACUCGACUCCAUGAAGUCGGAAUCGCUAGUAAUCGUAGAUCAGAACGCUACGGUGAAUACGUUCCCGGGCCUUGUACACACCGCCCGUCACACCAUGGGAGUGGGUUGCAAAAGAAGUAGGUAGCUUAACCUUCGGGAGGGCGCUUACCACUUUGUGAUUCAUGACUGGGGUGAAGUCGUAACAAGGUAACCGUAGGGGAACCUGCGGUUGGAUCACCU
This 1528-nucleotide ribosomal RNA is filed under the name Enterobacter sp. MGH 23. RNAcentral describes it as "bacterial SSU rRNA". It matches the Rfam family "Bacterial small subunit ribosomal RNA". The record is from RNAcentral. Lineage: Bacteria; Pseudomonadati; Pseudomonadota; Gammaproteobacteria; Enterobacterales; Enterobacteriaceae.